CUUGCAAUCCUCCUGCCUCAGCCUCCCAGAGUGCAGGAUUACAGGAAUGUACCAGUACACCCGGCUUUCUUUCUCCACUUUUUUUUCUUUUUUGGAGGCAGGGUCUCUCUAUGAACUCGCUGGUGAUCCUUCUGCCUCAGCCUCUCCAGUGCUGAGAUUACAGCAGGGAUGCUCCACACCCAGGUCCUUUUUCACUUUUUUGACCCUCUUCCUUUGUGACUCUGAGUGUCCCAGGCCCCUUGCCACCCCCCCACCCCCCACUGUACGUAGAAAGCUUGCGGAUGGGCUCUCCACACCCCCAAUACCACCCCACACACAGCGCGGGUGGCUGCCUCUCCCAGCUGUGCAUUGCCUGAUGCUGUGGAGUGGGGAGGAAGAGGCCCACCGAGACCGGGGAUUGGCCUGACCCCUUCUCUGCCCCAAGAAUGUAUGGCAUGGUGCGCGCCCCCCCCCCCCCCAGUCUCGCUAUGUAUCCUACACUGUCCUCAAACUCAAGGCAAUCCUCCUGUCUCAGCCUCCAGGGUGCUGGGAUUACAGGCAUGCCCACCACUGGCUUGGGUUCUUUCUUCUCCAGUCAGAAGGUAGCUUGGUUAUCCUUUUGGGGAGCUCCCUUUUUUUCUUUCCUCCCACCUGCUGCAAAUCACAGCCCCUGUUCUGGAAGAAUCCUCUUUUCACAGCAGGGCAGUGCUUAUUUCCUCCUCAAAUACAUUCUUAUGCAAGGAAGAGGUGAUAGGGAUCGGAGAGUCAUUUCACCCCCACGUGCCCAGUCCCCUUAUCAGCCUAGAGAAUCUCCAGCUUGAAGGGGUGGGAGGUGGUGGUGGUGGAACUGGGGAGCAGUCACUAACUUCUCUUUCCCUUCCUCCCCACCCCUAAACCACGCAAACCACUCAAGGCAAACUCAGCCUGCCCGUCCAGGGAGGGCCUGGGGGCAAAAUAUGUGGGGCACGGGCAGUCUGCCCAAGGGGUGGAGAGCACCUCUUCAGGAGCCUAAUCUGGUGACUAGGGGCCACCUUCUUUGGGUUCUUGUGACCACUCCGGUGCCUGACCAUCACAAAAGGAGCAGCGAAGGCCUAUAAACGUUGUAGCCUUGGCCCUGCCCAUUCCUAUGGAGAAGACCACUGUGGGCCGAGUCUGACCCUAGCUCCCAGGCCUGAACUUUCCUGGUGACUCUGCUUGUGCCUCUUAUCCGUCUAAGUCCACAUGGAUUUAGAGACAGCAGGGAGGGUUGGAAAGUGGGAGCAGUGAGUUUGGAGUGGAAAGAGUUACAGGAAUGUGGUCUGCUGUGUAUUAGCUGUAGUCCCUGAGGCAAAUCACAGCCCUCUGGGACUGAGACCGGAGAUCAGGCACAGCAAAGCUGGCUGGGGAAGUAGGCGUGACCUGUUAAUUACAGAAUCCCAGGGCACGUGGGGCAGAAAUGGUUCCCAGAGCCCUGCUCCUCGGCUUCUUCCAAUCCGAAGGUUUUCCACCGGACAGCCUGGGCUUGACAUCAGUUGGCCUGGGGUGUGAGUGAUACUAACAGGAUGGUCUGCACAGAGCUUUUGCCACCAUGUUUGCUCUCUCGCUGUGGCUGUGGGGGCACUCUUUCCUACCUAUACUUGGCCAACACUCACUCUGCAGAGCCUGUUUCUUCUCCUACCUUUAAUAAAACUUCGCUACCGUUUGUGCUUGUCUUGAUCUAUUCUUUGUUCAGGACAGAAAGAACCUAGAAACCACCUCCCGAAGGAGACUCCAACACCCCAAACCCAGAAACAUGACCACUUCAGUAUAAGGGGCAGUGUUUCAGGGCUGAGGAGUUUGCACCCAGGAGGGGUCCUCGGGACUUCCUUCUGCUGACUCUGGCUGGCAACACGGACUUUGCACGCACCCUGACCUUGAGACUGUGAAUGCCAGGUGAAUUCUCCCAGCCUCCCCUGACCCUCGAGGGGUGAGGCUGGGUUUUGGGUACAGCCAUCUUCAGAAACCUUCCCUGCAGCCAAGGCUGAUUCUCAGGCAAGUUUACCUAACCUCUCUGGUCUGUUUCCUCGUUUGUAAAUUGGGAAUAAUCACACUUACCUUACGGAGUGGGGUUACUGAGAUACGGCUGUCGGGUAAAGUACAGGACCAGUACAGUACAAAGUACUGUGGUUAAAAAACUGUGCUUAGGGACAGGGAUUUAGAUCAGUGGUUCUGCCGCCUGGCUCGCAAGCGCAAGGUCCAGAGUUUGAUCCCCGGUACCAAAAAAAAAAAGUGCUUUAUUCCCUCCCUCUCUUUUUUUUUUUCCUAUAAUCUGGCUUCUCUUUGUCUGACUCCCUUUUCUGUUCUCUUUCCUGCUUUGUUUUUCUGUUCUAUAUCACCUGGUAGCAUUGUGUACAUUCUUACCUGUUGAUUUUGUAACUUGUCUGAUCCCUACGUUUGUUUUGACUGCUGACACCUCAUAGAAUUUUCCUAAGUUUUCCUUAUGGAAUACGAAGUUUUUUUCCAAAUCCUUUCCAACCCAGUUCUUCACUCAGGGUUGUUGUGGGAGGAUUUGGGGGCCGAAGCAAAAAUACAGUACAGGGCUAGGGAUAGAGCUAGACUUAUGGAUGGACAUCGCAGAAUUCACACAUGCAAGUUCACACUGCCAGCUGUGAAAUGACCAGAGAACUAUCUUCCUGAGGAACUGGGACCCUUCCAGAGUUACCUGGUGGAGAGCAGAGUCGCAGCAGUUGGCAGUUGAGUUGUACAUAUUAGAGGUGAUAAGGAAUCCAGAUUCUCAAGCCAGACUCUCUGGGGUCAAGUUCCAGUUCUACUCUUUAUUAGGCCCGAGGUCACAAAGGAUGACAGGAGUAUUUGCACCCUUAUGAGAGUUGCUGGGAGGAACAAAUGUCCUGACAAACUGCGGCAACAGUUCUUGUACAAGUCUAGAGCCUGUAGCGUUUAAGGACGUUUGUUUGGUCAAUGCUACCACCUGGUGGACACCUUGGGCAAAGUCUCCCUCGCCUUGGGCUCAGGGGUAGGGAUCUAAUCAGGGAAGGAACGGAGGAGCGGUCUGAAUGGAAGGCGUAGCGUGUGUGUGUGUGUGUGUGUGUGUGUGUGUGUGUGUGUGUGUGUGUGUGUGUAGAGGUUCAUAUGCUAUGGUGCUGAGGUUUUGUUGGGACCCAGCAGGCUUAGCCCUGGUGCACAGCUGGCACCAGGGGAAAUGAAAAAGAGUCAAGGGGGAGGGAGAUUUUCCCUCCCUCCUCCUCCAUGCCGGACCUGAGCCAAAAGGAACCAGUUCCUGGGAAUGUGGGAGUAGAGAGCAGAAUGUCACCGCUGACGCCAGGGAUCUUCAGGUAGGAGUUUGGAGUCCGGAGGACUCCCUCCCUCCGCGGUGCGGGAUGCCCCGGCGACAGCUUCCCGGACCGACCGAGCCAUCCUUCCUUCCGCGCCCCUCCCGCCUCCUCUGGCGCCUCCCUCAAGGCGCUCCUGGCCUUCUCAAGUUGUUCCCGGCCGGAAAAAGGCCUCACCUCUGCUCCUGGGAGCCGGCGGACACGGCUGACCCGAGGACACCUGAGGACGGCUCCUCAGCUCUGGUUAGUGGCACCCCAGCACUGAGUCACGGGAGCGCGAUACUGCAGACUUCUGCCUGGGAGUCGGAGCCGUGACAGUCUCCGGGUGCGUCCGCAGCACAGCGCAGGCCUUACCUGUGGGCGGCUGCUGGAUCCUGGCCUUGGCUUCUGGCCCCAGGCUUGCGGAGUCCUAGGGAAGCAGCUUCCUCUCCAGCGUGUUCCCCUAGCCCUCUCCUUCUGGGAGGAGCUGGCAGGGGCCUCCGUGCCUACGUCUGACUUCUUUUCCUGGACAAACACAGCUCUUGUCUCUGAGGCCGGCAGCCUGGCCUCCUCAGCUUCUUCCUCCAGCCAGAGCCAGGUUUCUAGCAGCGACCUCUAGAUCCCGACUCGGGCCACCCGGGCUUGGGGGAGACCGCCUUCAGAGGACAUGGGCCCAUUCCUCAGUGCGGCGGGGGGCCUCGCCCGGCCUCCUGUGAGAAGGCCGCGGCCAUGGCCAUACAAAGCCCUCUUCUGCAAGUCCCUCCUUGCUGGACUCCUGCCUUGGCCCCGGAUGCUGAGUUCCGGAGCCAUCCCAGGAGCUCUCAGGCAGUCGGUCACUAGGCAGGGUGACCAGGUCUCCUAAUUUUAACAGCCCAAAGAAAAGUGGCUCAGUCUUUCUGGACAUAGAGACCCUGAGGACAGAGCUGGUUCCCAUGACCAUCGGGCCGGGCUGGCCUAUGCCCUCCACCUUAGGCAGAUGAUAGGAAGCACCAGGGAUGCAGAGAAUGGAGAAACAGACAACAGAUACGCAACAAGAACCUCAAGACAAGUUGUGAAAUGCAGGGAACAAGAUGAAACAAAGCAGUUAAUGCGAUGAUAAUUCUGUCAUUGAUACGUGAGUGUUUUGACAGCAAGUAUUUCUUGUGUGGAGCUUCUUGGUGCCCCCCGGCCUUGCAUUCCUGUAGUCCUGAUUCAGCUCAGUCCUGGUGCUGUUUCUGUUGAGUCUCCCCCAAUUGCUGUAACCAAAAGCUCAUCUUUUGGGCAUUGGUUGGAUGGACUGGGGAUCUGGGCUUUGCAACUCACUAGCUUUGUGACCUCUAGCAUGUAACGUUCUCUCUUUACCGGGUUGGUAAAUAAAAUAAACCUAACUCUCAGAGUCAA
Heterocephalus glaber (naked mole-rat) is the source of this 4646-nucleotide long non-coding RNA. RefSeq lists it as uncharacterized. The record is from RefSeq and is a predicted model, not a curated record. NCBI's taxonomy places the organism in Eukaryota, Metazoa, Chordata, Mammalia, Rodentia, Bathyergidae.